Long non-coding RNA from Ictalurus punctatus (channel catfish), 2177 nucleotides. Lineage: Eukaryota; Metazoa; Chordata; Actinopteri; Siluriformes; Ictaluridae. The record is from Ensembl.
CAUCUACAGUUGUGUUCAGAAAUUUACACACCCCUUGCACAUCGUAAUAAAAAUAAUAACAAAAUAAUAACAAAUUUACACUUCUAGACCGUUUAUAAUAAUGAAAUAUAUAAAAACCUAUUACUGAAAUGCACAAGCAGGUACAAUAGCAAAAACUAUGGUAAUGAUAAUUUAGCAAGAGUUAGUCUAUUUACACUAAAUAUUACAUAACAAAACCCAAGUUAAAGAUUUAACACCUUUGACUGAGAAUAGUGAUAUGAAGUUCAAGCGAGAUACGAUACGAUGCGAUGCAGCGAUUUGAGUAGAUUAAUAAGCUAAUUAAGAAUAAUAAGCUGAUUAACUUCAGCUGACUACAUACAGUAUGUCUCUAUGGAAACAUGGUUUCAUUUAAAUGCUUUUAUACCACUGCACUGUUGAAUUCUUGAACCUGAUUGGACAGAAGGUGUUGAUUUCAUUUUCUACAACAGCAGCUCUGACUGUAGAUGCGGGUGUAAUUGCAGUGACAGGUUUCUAUUAAUAUACUCAUUCUAAUAUAUUACUCUUUCUACUUCUGUAGUAACGACUUAUUCACAGGGACUUGUAUGAAGGACACACCACAUAACCUAAGUCUAUUAAAGAACGUAUAAAUAAAAUGUGUUAUUAUUUAACAAAGACAUAUAUUUGUUGAUAUGGUGAGGGUUUUCUGUAGGGAUAUGUUUAAUGUUUAUUUAAGGAGUCUCAGGUGUCAGCGCUUUGAAACAGUCAGUGGGUUUUCCUCCAUGACGGAGUCUUCAGGACAACGUACAGUUUUCUGGUAACAUGACAAGCUGCUGUUUUUGUUUUAUUAACUUCACGAGAGCGAAAAAGAGAGGCUGGUGACGAAGUGACUGUUUAUAGUCGCUGUAACGUAAGUCAUAACAGAAACUUGUUUUACGGUUAGUCCACAAUGUUAAAUGUAGAUAUAAACGUAAAAGUACGAUACGUCAUUCUUCAAUACAUUAAACAUUGUACUCGUUGGCUACAAAAAUUGCUGUAGUACAAGAGGAAUAAAAUACUUUACACAUUCUGUUAUAGGAAAAUAAUCAGCUUUGUGGUAAAAGUAAGUCCGAUUUGCACUGCAAAGUUACACAUUACACAACUACAUCAUUGAUUAUUUUUCCAUAACAAGUGUUUUAUUCCAUAUUCAUCAUUCAUUUAUCCCCAGUAAGUUUAUUCUGGUCAGUGGAUAUGGAGCCUAUUCCAGCAAUACUUGACGUAAAGCAGGAAUACACACCAGGACACACUUCUUUUAAUCGGCUCAAAUAAUCUCAUGAUUAGGUUGUUAUGUAUUAUGUGAAAGGCCUAACACCUGCAUGGAAAAGACAGGCUUUUAAUCUGUGACUCCACUUUCCCGGUUCACACUGUUAGUCUUCAAGAAUAUCCUCCACUGUGUAUUGUAUGUUGCUUCAUGUUUUUCUCAUCACCUUAUAUUCCACAAAAUUUGAUUUCAUUCAUUCAAUCACGAGGAUCUUAGUUAGAUCGCGGCAUUUACAUUCAGCACACAAAAAACCCACGUUAUUUUGAUGACUGAACUGUUAUCAUUUCAUAUUUCUAUUUCUGUUUAAGAAGUUUAUUUAGAAAUAUGUUAGAGACGAAUUAUACAUAUAAUGUUCUAUUUGUUGAACCCUUCUGACUGACAUUUCUAAAAAAUAAUAAUAAUAAUAAAAAACCGUCAUUCAAAGUUCUUACAAUUUUAGUGGAAGGCAGUGUUUUAUUUUAUUUGAAUGUUAUCAGCACUUGAUACUCCCAAAAACAAUAUUUAAAAAAAAAAAAAAAAAAAAAAAAAGAUUUAGUAUUUCACUUGUCAGUGUGGGCUCUAGUAUGCAAUGUCUAUGUAUUUAGUUUGUAUGAUAAUUUGCACAAUGUCAUUUAGAAAGUGCGCCCCCUUUCCCCUGCAUUAUUAGCCUACAUGUAUUUUUAAGGGAUGUGUCCACCUUUUCGCUGUAGCAUAUUUUAUGUAUUAAACGAUACGUCACUGUAACAAAUAAAGGAAAAUGCUUUGUAUUUCAGUGUUUUUUUUAUUUUAUUUUAUUUUAUUUUUUUAUUUUUUAAAAUCUCCCUUUCUGUCCUGGCUACACUACAUGAAUAUGUAGACGUUCACUCAUUCACUCACUUUCAGUAAGAGCUUUAUCCUGAACAGGGUCAAAGUGGAUCUGGAG